RNAcentral lists this ribosomal RNA (371 nucleotides) under Dictyuchus sp. 8 HM-2018. Its description in RNAcentral is "LSU rRNA". It matches the Rfam family "Eukaryotic large subunit ribosomal RNA", at positions 77 to 443 of the family's 3401-position model. The record is from RNAcentral. Lineage: Eukaryota; Oomycota; Saprolegniomycetes; Saprolegniales; Achlyaceae.
CCCCCAGUAACGGCGAGUGAAGCGGGAAGAGCUCAAGCUUAAAAUCUCCAUGUUUUACAUGGCGAAUUGUAGUCUAUUGAGGCUGUUGUCAGCAUAGCGAUUUGGGAUAAGUCCCUUGGAAAAGGGCAGCAUAGAGGGUGAUACUCCCGUCUUUGCUCAGAUUGUCUAUGUGUACGAUACGCUUUCUUUGAGUCGAGUUGUUUGGGAAUACAGCUCAAAGUAGGUGGUAAAUUCCAUCUAAAGCUAAAUAUUGGUGCGAGACCGAUAGCGAACAAGUACCGUGAGGGAAAGAUGAAAAGAACUUUGAAAAGAGAGUUAAAGAGUACCUGAAACUGUUGAAAGGGAACCGUAACAUGUCCAGUGUUGUAUCU